UUAUAAAUCAAAGUGGGUCUCAUUUUCAAAAAAAUUUAGAAUAUAUUAGUAUGACGGCGGAAUUAUUAACUCUUGACUGCCAAAAGGAAUGUUUGAACUCGAAGCCCAAACAGAAACAGCUAUUUCCUUAGGUGAGACUCUAUUUUGACCCAGUCUUCACUCUUCACAAAAGCCCUUUUCUUGUUCCUCCGUUUCCGACGACAAGCCAUGGAAAUUAACCGGGAAAAAGAAAGUACUCAAAAGCAGAAAUAUAUCAAGAUUCCAUACAUUCUCUUUUCUUUUUAUUUUCCUCUUUUUCCCAGCCAUCCAAACGGACCGCCAACUCCUCAAACUAAUCAGGAAUCGCAUAUAAGUCGCUGCUACGGAGCUUGACGAGUUCUCUCGUAGUUGGUAUACGGUUUACUAAUUACUUGUGACUUUUGCUCAACGGGUUAAGGCAGAUUACAAUUUCCUAAGACUGUUUUUCCAGGUAUGAGGCUAGCUUGGCCACAUGUAGAGAUAGUACAUGCAGCCUAAUUUAUUUAUUUAUCCAUUUGUUUCUGAGGACUUAUAGAAAACAGAUUAAUUUAAGUCCAUUAAGUUCUGUGCUACGCUCUUAAAGUUGACUUUAGACUAGAUUCCUCUAAUCAAAUAUUUUAAGAUAUAAUAUAGGGAACCAAAAAGAGAAAAAAAAAGGCAUUGGGGCAUUCCGAGAAUCGAACUCGGGACCUCUCGCACCCAAAGCGAGAAUCAUACCACUAGACCAAAUGCCCAAUUUUUUAUUUGCAUCAUGUCUGGUUUAUAGUUAUUAGAUCUUUUUCUCCAAGUGCUCCAGUUAAUUUUCUAUGGACUCAUUCCUGGAAGACCAACAUUUUUCAAUCUCUCACUUUUUAUGUGGUUCAAUGCAUCAUUGCACUGCUACAAUUGGAUCCUAAAGGCUUUUGAAAUUGCAUUAGCACCAGGUGGCACCUUUCACCUAUAUUUUGAUGCCUUUUUAUAUUUAUUAAUUCCGAAUAUGGAUCCACUAGAAGCCAAAACAUCUAUAGGUUAUGAAUUUUCCAAAAUUUGUAAUUUCAUUUAACAAAUGAAGAAUCUGAUUGCUAAAUGGAUAGUUUGCCAGUUAUUGUGCUCUUGGAAAUUAGAAUAUUUUGAUUUAUACAUCGGAAUGGUUUUAAAACAAAAUUACAGAACAAUUAGGCAGAGAUGUAGAAACCUAAUCAAUAUAUAAUGUUCUAAUAAACUUUUCAAGCUGGUUAUCAAAGUCUUUAGAUGUUAAUUUAGCUUGUAAAGUUGUUUGGUUAUUGCAUAAAGAUGUAGGUCUGAGUCCCACAUUCACUACAGAGUAAGGGAGUGGGGGCUAUGGGAAGGGCGAGAGCUAGCGCACAUAGUAUAGUCUGGCAGCUGGAUCAAGAAAAAAAUAAUAAAAUAAAAGCAGUCUUAGCAGAUAGAGAAGAUGGAAACUCACUCAGAAAGGGGGAAAAUACUUUGCCUUUUCUGUUCUCUGAUUUUUGCUUGACUAUAAAUAGGUAUCUUAAAUAAAAUAUUUUAACCUGCUUUUCAAAUGUAUAUUUAUUGUAUUUGUUUAGUGCCCUUUGUUAGGAAGAUUUCCUGUUCUUGGACCACUAUAAGAUUAAAGGUACAAAAAUAAACUUUUGAAGGUGGCUCAAUUUAUUUAUUUUUUACUCACUGCAAAGAAAUCUUGUCAGGAAACAAAUGGAUCUGAAGUUACGAAGCUUCUAUGUUAUUUUACUUUUAAAGUUAACUUAAUGGCAGAUUCUCUGAUCAUAUAUUUGAAAUUAAGGGAACUAAAAAGAAAGAGGGGGCUGGGGCAUUCCGAGAAUUGAACUCGGGACCUCUCGCACCCUAAGCGAGAAUCAUACCACUAGACCAAAUGCCCAAUUUUGAUGUUUAUCAUGUUUAGUAUUUAUCUUUUAGCAGUUUUCUAAGGAUUCGUGUUAACUUUCAAUGGACUAAUACUAAGUAAGCUGCCAUUAGUUUCUUCUCUUGCUUUUGAUGUGCUCCUGGUAUCAUAUCUUGUUAUAGUGAUUGUAGUGUUUUUCUUUUGAUGUAAUUCUGUUAUAAUUUCCCUGUUAGAGUUUGAUGCCAUCUGUACCUCUUAAAAUUGUAUUUAGACCUUGGAUUUCCUUUGAAUCUUUUUGUCUAACCAUAGUAAUGGUGUUGGUUUAUGCUUCUUAAUUUCGUUUUUGGGUCAAAUAUUAGACGAGUUAUGGAUUAUGAAUUUGUAUUUUUCUUUUGUUAGUGGUUAAUGGCUUGACUUAAUAGCUAGAUGGCUAGUGAGCUCUGUCACACACUUACCAUGCAUGCAUAGUACCAUAAAGUGUUGUAAAAGAUGAACUUACCGGGCAAUUAGGCAGUUGUGCAGAAAGUUUUUCAAGAAAUGCUGUUUUCUUUGUGGGCCUUGCAGGCCAAAUGCAAGAGAGAAAAAAGGGUAUGACUUUUUCCUAGUAUUUUAACCUGCUCCUCAAAUGUGUCUGUUCCAUGUGUAUGUGGUACCUUUUCUAUGACAGGCUAUGGCGGAUCUAGUGUUUCCUGAUGUAUGAGAUUACAAGUCAGUGGAUAGCUUGCCCAACUUGCAAAAAACUGAUUUGUUAUAUACAUUUAAGAACUCAUUGCUGACUGAUUUCAGAAAAUAAAUCAAGAUGAAAUCAAUAAAUUUUUAUAUUACACUUUCGAAGUUGACUUUUGGGUAGAUUCUUUUGAUCAAUAUUUCAAAUUGUAAGAUAGAACUAAAAAGAAACAAGGAGUUGGGGCAUUUCGGGAAUUGAUCUCGGGACCUCUCGCACCAAAGCAAGAAUCAUAUCAUUAGACUAAAUGCCCAAUCUUUGGUGUUUAACAGAAUUUGCUUUUAUUUAUUAGCUAUUUUCUUAAAGAUCCUGCUAAAUUUUGAUGUCUCUCUGCUAGCUUUUUAGCAAGUUGUUCUGCUGUUUGAAUGCUACGUUUGUACUUAAAGGAAUGGUUUAAGGAUGAGCUUAUUGGAUGAUUAGGCAGUUAGCAACUGAUCACGAAAUGUUGUGUCCUAAUAAUCUUUUAUUUGUGGGACUCUGCUAACUGAAUGCCAUUUCAUAAUUUUACUAAGAAUCCUGAAAUGAAUCCACCUUGACCCAGUUUUGCGCCUUUGCAGUGCUUCACCACUCUGUUUAGUACUGUAAUUGCGCAAAAAAGAAGAAAAUAAGGUUUUUUGUUGAUAAAGAACUGGACAUUAGGAUUUCUUAUUCACUAGUUUUUCUUGCCAUAAACAUUUUCUUCAUUAAGUAUUUAAGCCUGCUUCUCAAAUGUAGAUUCAUUACAUGCAUAUGCAAUGUCCUUUUUUGGCAGGUUUAAGACAGAUUUCUUUUAUCUGAAGACUUUGAGAUCACAGGUAUGAAGAAUAGCUUGCCGAAAUUUAAAAAGAUUACAUAUAGAUUAGUUGCUUAUUUGAUUUAUUUUUGCAACUCGUUUUGGAAAAUCUUGUCAGAAAAAAAUUACGUGAAAGAUGACUUCAUGCCAGAUUCCUCUUGCCUAAUGCUUCAAAUGGUAGAAGAAAAUAAAAAACAAGUACUAGGGGCAUUCCGAGAAUCAAACUUGGGACCUCUCGCACCCAAAGUUAGAAUCAUACCACUAGACCAAAUGCCCAAUUUUGUUGUCUAUAUUGUUUUGUUAUUAUUAUAAUAUCUAUUGGUCGUAAAUUUUCAAGAAAUGCUGCUUGCGUUUGUUUACUUAUUUAUGAAGUCUUUGAUCAGAACUAGAUUGUUUGUGAGUUUUUUUGCUAUUGGAAUAUAUAGUAAAGCGCUUAAGAAUUAUUCAUGGAUGAGCCUACUGGAUGAUUAGCAGUUUUGCUGGAGUUUUUCACCAAAUAACCUUUUCUCUACAAGGCUCUGAAGGAUGAAUACUAAAGUCUUCUAUUUGCAAUAGGGAUGCUGACUACUUUAGCUGCAAAGUCAUUCUGUAAUUUCAUUGAGCUAGGUUUAAAUCCUUUUCUGACCCUUGGUUGAAGGCAUGUUGGUGCAAGAGAAGAGGCUAAAUGGAGGAGGCCCAUACCACGGAUUGUAGCUGGAUUAUUGGUCUGAAUGACAAAUAGACAUACCUCUUACUCAAAGGAAGAAAAUAGGCACAUUUCUUUUCUGUUGGCCUUUUGUUUUGUCUUAUUGGCUAAAUUGGUUGUUGUUGGUUAACUGUUUAUUCCUUUAUUUUCACAGGGUUAAGGCAGAUUUUCAUUUUCUAAGUCUGUGACUCCAGGUUAUGGGAGAUCUAAUGUUUCCUGAUGCUACAAGAUUACAGGUCAGUGGAUAGCUUGCCCAACUUGCAAACAACACAUUUAUUAUAUACAUUUAUCGACUUAUUGCAUACUGAUGUCAGAAAAGAAAUCAAGAUGAAGUCGAUGAAUUUUUAUAAAUUUCGAAGUUGACUCCUGGCAUGAUUCUUUUGAUCAAUAUUUUCAAAUUGUAAGAUAGAACAAAAAAGAAACAUGAGUUUGGGGGCAUUCCGAGGAUGGAAUUUGGGACCUCCACGGCUUUUUUUCUUCGUUUUAUCGAUUUUCUGUACAAUUUUAUAAUCAACAAUCGUACUAAAAUAAUCAAAAGCUUAAAGAAAAAAAGGGUUUUCCAAAGCUGUUCCCCGUCUUUGUGCAUUCACAAAUGAUAAUUCAAAUGUUUCCUUUGUCUAAAUUGGUUCGAUUAGUUUAAAUUGUUUUGAACACGAUAGAUGCAAUGUAAAUAAUUAGGCUUAAAAUUUAUUUAAAAAUUGGGCUAUAAUAAUUUUUAAUAACAUUGUUUUCUGAAAUAAUUUUUAAUAACAUUUGUAUCAAGCAAGAAAUAUCAGUUGCAUAACCUUUUUGUUUCUUUGUACUGGCAAGGAUCAAUUCAUGAAAGAAAUUAGAGCAAAAAGUGUUCCCCUCGGUCCCAAGUUCUUCAUUUCCUCCUUUUUCUAUGGUCACCAUGAUAUGCUCUGCACUCUUGCUGUUACAUAACAUAGACAGCAAUGAUACUAACAUAAAAUAGUAUAUCUCAGGCUGAGAUUGUAUUGGAAAUUGGGAAGGCACAACCAACACUCCCAUUUUAAAAUAUUUAAAUGGUUUUAUCAAAUAAAAUUUUUACAUUGAUGUUGAUUGAGUAGGGUUGAAGGUGAUUUUCUUUAUUCAUGAUCAGAAGUGAUUAAUCACCACACCGUAAAAGCCAGACCAUUCAAGUUUGUAUGAUGAGUAUCCCAUCUUAUAACCAAAUAAAAGAAAAGAUUUAUGUAUGUAACAGAUCACUUCCUGGAUCAUGGAAUGAUGUGAUGCUGGGCCAAUUCAUGAACACCCUUAACUGCCAUUAAUCCUGAGAAAAAAAAAACUUUAUAAAAGCAGUAAUUAAAUUAAAUAUAAAGAAAGGAAGAAAGUAAAAGAAACCAACCAGGAAUCCAGCUUAUCUUUUCAUGAUUAAAUUCUUGUACAUAACCUUAGGCUCCACCACCUUUGAUCAAAAAGGAAGGUAAAAAGAAAGCAAACUGCCUUGUUGAUCUACCUAAAAGUAUCAUCAACAAAAGUUUCCAACUCCCUUUUUUACUUUAAUCGAUUUGAUUACUUCAACAUGCAACUUCAUAAGCAUAUGACCUUGACCCAAAAUUUACACUUUGGGUUGGAACCCAAGUUGGCAUCUUUGGUUUAGAUUGUUUUUAUCUUAAAUUUCAUUUCAAUCUC
Non-coding RNA from Durio zibethinus, 5656 nucleotides. Lineage: Eukaryota; Viridiplantae; Streptophyta; Magnoliopsida; Malvales; Malvaceae. The record is from RefSeq and is a predicted model, not a curated record.